GCUGUUUAAGAAGUAUACAUGUAGUCAAAAAAAUCAAAUGAAAAUAAAAAAAAAAAAAAAAAAAAUAUACAUUACAAAUGCAUUGUCAUGAUUGUAGCAAAUAUUUCUUAUCAGGAUUGUGUUAGGUACUUCUUGAUACUUUGCUUAAAAGUAAAAGUGUUUUGAGCCUUACGCAUUUUGUGUGGUAGUCCAUUCCAUAAUACUGAUCCAGAAUAAGCAAAGGAUUUCUUAAAUAGUUCAGCUUUUGGCUUAGGAACUAUCAGAUUACCUUGAGUGACACCUCUUAAGGAGUAAGGAUUAUUAUCUGAUUUCAGUUUAAACUUUUGAACUAGGUACAUUGGUGCUUCCAUACGCAUACAUUUAUAUAGAAGUAAAUAUUUGUGGUAAUUUAUUCUAUUGUCAACUGUCAUCCACCCAAGUUUUUUAAAUAAGGGGGCUGAGGGGGAUAAAGGAUCUGCAUCUAGAAUUAAUCUUGCUGC
This 479-nucleotide long non-coding RNA is filed under the name Mytilus galloprovincialis (Mediterranean mussel). Lineage: Eukaryota; Metazoa; Mollusca; Bivalvia; Mytilida; Mytilidae. The record is from RNAcentral.